UACGGAGGGGGCUAGCGUUGUUCGGAAUUACUGGGCGUAAAGCGCACGUAGGCGGAUGCUUAAGUCGGGAGUGAAAGCCCGGGGCUCAACCCCGGAAGGGCAUUCGAAACUGGACGUCUGGAGGUCGGGAGAGGCGAGUGGAAGUACGUGUGUAGAGGUGAAAUGCGUAGAUAUUCGGAGGAACACCGGUGGCGAAGGCGGCUCCCUGGCCCAAUACUGACGCUGAGGCGCGAAGGCGUGGGGAGCAAACAGG
RNAcentral lists this ribosomal RNA (253 nucleotides) under uncultured bacterium. Its description in RNAcentral is "partial 16S ribosomal RNA". It matches the Rfam family "Bacterial small subunit ribosomal RNA", at positions 524 to 776 of the family's 1533-position model. The record is from RNAcentral.